Lineus longissimus is the source of this 5048-nucleotide long non-coding RNA. RefSeq lists it as uncharacterized. NCBI's taxonomy places the organism in Eukaryota, Metazoa, Nemertea, Pilidiophora, Heteronemertea, Lineidae. The transcript is spliced from 6 exons. The record is from RefSeq and is a predicted model, not a curated record.
GUGGCCGCAGACGACAGACAUUUGGCAAAGUUAUGAAAUUUCGUGAAAAUUUUUUGUCCUUAAAACACAGUUUUUGUUGCUUGAAUUCGGCCAUUUACAACGAUUUUCCGCGAGCUUCUCCCCUCUUCAUUUUCCUCGGCCAUCAUGUACAUCAUGUACAUCUUGUACAUCAUGAAGGGCAAAAAUGGCUGCCAUGAAAUGGCCCAUCUCAUUCGAGGAGUAAACAGUGAGGGAAUUUUACAGAACACAAUGAUUCAUCAAUGAAACAACCAACUGUGGUGUUUGUCUUAAAGGGCAGUUGCAGAGGAAGCUUUGCCCGGAGGAAGAUCCCAGCCAAGGUUGCAGCAACUAAGCCAAGAAAUACUUAGGGAAUCGCUUUCUGGAAAUACUAGAAUUUCCAGAAUUUCCAGUGUGAUGGUUUCAAGAAAGAUGAGAUGGAGGAAUGCAGCAUAGAAACAUGGGAGUCUCUGUUGUAACUGUCUAUACUUGGUUGCACCGAUUCUGAAGAGGGAGGCCAAGAAAGAUGAGAUGGAGGAAUGCAUCAUAGAAACAUGGGAGUCUCUGUCGUAACUGUCUAUACUUGGUUGCACCGAUUCUGAAGAGGGAGGCCAAGAAAGAUGAGAUGGAGGAAUGCAUCAUAGAAACAUGGGAGUCUCUGUCGUAACUGUCUAUACUUGGUUGCACCGAUUCUGAAGAGGGAGGCCAAGAAAGAUGAGAUGGAGGAAUGCAGCAUAGAAACAUGGGAGUCUCUGUCGUAACUGUCUAUACUUGGUUGCACCGAUUCUGAAGAGGGAGGCACUGCUGAAGGCGCAAAUAUUUAUGCGCCUCCACCUGAUGAUCCAGACUGGACAAUUGUACAGGUCGUACUGGUAAACAAGCUAAGAACAGUCCACCUCCUUAGGGUUGGAGCGGCAUCGGUCAUACCACUACCAACGUCUCAAUGGAAUUGGUUGACCGCAUUCUGACUGGAGACAAGGAUGGAGGAAUCUACGAUGUCAUUGCAAGAACAAGCAAUCAAAGGAUAUAAGCACCUCCUCUAGAAAAAACGAGGUAAUUGAAGCUGCUGGAGGACCAUGACAUGACUUCCCUGUCGUAAACAAGCUGGGCAUGGACUAGGAUCACAUCAGCCAAGAGUUACAAGUCUAAAUUUCUGUGGAUUUCGACAACUGUGGAUUUCAUUGGGAUCGGCUCAUCACGAUAGGACCCCUACCAUUCUUACUGGAAAAGGCAUCAUCUAUGGUUGAUGAUUGACGGUGUCUCCAGUUUCUUUGCUUGAACCAGCCGGAGCCGGAAAAUUCAAGGUGUGGUGUGGAUAGCAUAAUCCCAAUAGAUGUCCAGAACUGGAAUUUGAUGAAAUCGUUUGCAAUGUCCUCCAUGGCUCAUAAUGGACCAUUUCAUUGUUAAAUGUCUUUUAGUGACUCUCGUUGGUUGACCAGUAAUUAUGUGCAGACUUUUGCUUUGAACUGAAGCAAUAUCACUGCUACACUUGCGAAGCAGUGGCAGUGUUCAGGUCUUGCCUGCCUCGAUGACAUAUCUGCAUACCAGUAAAUAUGUGCAGACUUGGCUCUUUUUUUUGGAGCAGUACAGUUGCAAGAUAAAUCCUGUUUGUAAUUUUAUGAAUUAGUUGCUCAUUAAGGGCUUACGAAGGUUUUGAUGCCUUGCUGGCUUAUCUGCAUACCAGUAAAUAUGUGGAGAUUCAUUUCUUGCUUUGAAGCAAUAUCGUUGCUACACUCCUAAAGCAGUGGCAAUGUUCAGGUCUGUUCUGCCUUGCGGGCAAAUCUGCAUACGAGUAAUUAUGUGCAGACUUGGCUCUUCCAGAGAUUGUAGGACUGGGUCCAUUGAAUGUAACAAAAAUAAUAGUCGAUGCCUAUUUACAAAUGAAAUGAAGAGUCUGCAUUUUGAUGCAACUCCAUGUAACUGUCGGGUGAUUUUGCUCUGAACUUGUGACACUCUGAUCGGUCUGAAAUAAUCAUUAUCCCGCCCCUCUGGGAAAAAUUUGCAGCCUGAUUGCACCAUUGCCUGUUACUGUCUGAGAGAUGGCAAUGUCAGGGGUUCAUGACGGUGGUUAAACCUAUUGCGAAUGGGCAGCACAAUUGGGUGUAGGAUAUUCAUAAACCAUUGCACACUCCUGAAUCUGCGGUGGGUUGGUACCCCACGCUAUGUAAGGAGUAGGUUUGUGGGUAAAACUUGGUCCACGUGAAUGGGUCGUGCCUUAAAAAUGAUGAGAAGUUGCGAAUUGACGCCCUGUGAAGUGUCCUUCGACCAGCUAGUGCUAAUCCGGUCACUGUCUCCAGGUCACCAUGCCUCGGUCAAUGAGCGGGCGAAGCACCCAAUGGCUCCGUCAGGAGUACAUCGUCAACUUCAGCCCGUAGACAAACCGGUACGCGCACAAAUAUCUUAGCUGAGAGUGGGGGACAUCAGUAAAGUGCUUCUCAUCGGGGUAAUACAGUACCACUGUAUACAAUGACCCCAUUUUUUGUUGGAUUCAUUUCCGCUGAGGGGUGGUCGAUAAUGAGAGUUUUGGGCCAGUCUGAUUGUCACCAGUCCAGAGGGAAAAUACCUGAUAGUUAUGUGGCUUUCCCUCAAACUGUAUACUCUUUCAUGUCAAUUGUAAAUUAGUGUUGCUCAGUAGUGUUCAGGGUCUUUUUGUCGAACACUGGCACAUCUGCAUACCAGUAAUUAUGUGCAGACUUAAGUUUUGCUUUGAAGCAAUAUCACUGCUACACUUGUGAAGCAGUGGCAGUGUUCAGGUCUUGCCUGCCUCGAUGACAUAUCUGCAUACCAGUAAUUAUGUGCAGACUUGGCUCUUUUUUUUUGAGCAGUACAGUUACAAGAUAAAUCCUGUUUGUAAUUUUAUGAAUUAGUUGCUCAUUGAGGGCUUACGAAGGUUUUGAUGCCUUGCUGGCUUAUCUGCAUACCAGUAAAUAUGUGCAGAUUCAUUUCUUGCUUUGAAGCAAUAUCGUUGCUACACUUCUAAAGCAGUGGCAAUGUUCAGGUCUGUUCUGCCUUGCGGGCAAAUCUGCAUACGAGUAAUUAUGUGCAGACUUGGCUCUUCCAGAGAUUGUAGGACUGGGUCCAUUGAAUGUAACAAAAAUAAUAGUCGAUGCCUAUUUACAAAUGAAAUGAAGAGUCUGCAUUUUGAUGCAACUCCAUGUAACUGUCGGGUGAUUUCGCUCUGAACUUGUGACACUCUGAUCGGUCUGAAAUAAUCAUUAUCCUGCCCCUCUGGGAAAAAUUUGCAGCCUGAUUGCACCAUUGCCUGUUACUGUCUGAGAGAUGGCAAUGUCAGGGGUUCAUGACGGUGGUUAAACCUAUUGCGAAUGGGCAGCACAAUUGGGUGUAGGAUAUUCAUAAACCAUUGCACACUCCUGAAUCUGCGGUGGGUUGGUACCCCACGCUAUGUAAGGAGUAGGUUUGUGGGUAAAACUUGGUCCACGUGAAUGGGUCGUGCCUUAAAAAUGAUGAGAAGUUGCGAAUUGACGCCCUGUGAAGUGUCCUUCGACCAGCUAGUGCUAAUCCGGUCACUGUCUCCAGGUCACCAUGCCUCGGUCAAUGAGCGGGCGAAGCACCCAAUGGCUCCGUCAGGAGUACAUCGUCAACUUCAGCCCGUAGACAAACCGGUACGCGCACAAAUAUCUUAGCUGAGAGUGGGGGACAUCAGUAAAGUGCUUCUCAUCGGGGUAAUACAGUACCACUGUAUACAAUGACCCCAUUUUUUGUUGGAUUCAUUUCCGCUGAGGAGUGGUCGAUAAUGAGAGUUUCGGGCCAGUCUGAUUGUCACCAGUCCAGAGGGAAAAUACCUGAUAGUUAUGUGGCUUUCCCUCAAACUGUAUACUCUUUCAUGUCAAUUGUAAAUUAGUGUUGCUCAGUAGUGUUCAGGGUCUUUUUGUCGAACACUGGCACAUCUGCAUACCAGUAAUUAUGUGCAGACUUAAGUUUUGCUUUGAAGCAAUAUCACUGCUACACUUGUGAAGCAGUGGCAGUGUUCAGGUCUUGCCUGCCUCGAUGACAUAUCUGCAUACCAGUAAUUAUGUGCAGACUUGGCUCUUUUUUUUUGAGCAGUACAGUUACAAGAUAAAUCCUGUUUGUAAUUUUAUGAAUUAGUUGCUCAUUGAGGGCUUACGAAGGUUUUGAUGCCUUGCUGGCUUAUCUGCAUACCAGUAAAUAUGUGCAGAUUCAUUUCUUGCUUUGAAGCAAUAUCGUUGCUACACUCCUAAAGCAGUGGCAAUGUUCAGGUCUGUUCUGCCUUGCGGGCAAAUCUGCAUACGAGUAAUUAUGUGCAGACUUGGCUCUUCCAGAGAUUGUAGGACUGGGUCCAUUGAAUGUAACAAAAAUAAUAGUCGAUGCCUAUUUACAAAUGAAAUGAAGAGUCUGCAUUUUGAUGCAACUCCAUGUAACUGUCGGGUGAUUUCGCUCUGAACUUGUGACACUCUGAUCGGUCUGAAAUAAUCAUUAUCCCGCCCCUCUGGGAAAAAUUUGCAGCCUGAUUGCACCAUUGCCUGUUACUGUCUGAGAGAUGGCAAUGUCAGGGGUUCAUGACGGUGGUUAAACCUAUUGCGAAUGGGCAGCACAAUUGGGUGUAGGAUAUUCAUAAACCAUUGCACACUCCUGAAUCUGCGGUGGGUUGGUACCCCACGCUAUGUAAGGAGUAGGUUUGUGGGUAAAACUUGGUCCACGUGAAUGGGUCGUGCCUUAAAAAUGAUGAGAAGUUGCGAAUUGACGCCCUGUGAAGUGUCCUUCGACCAGCUAGUGCUAAUCCGGUCACUGUCUCCAGGUCACCAUGCCUCGGUCAAUGAGCGGGCGAAGCACCCAAUGGCUCCGUCAGGAGUACAUCGUCAACUUCAGCCCGUAGACAAACCGGUACGCGCACAAAUAUCUUAGCUGAGAGUGGGGGACAUCAGUAAAGUGCUUCUCAUCGGGGUAAUACAGUACCACUGUAUACAAUGACCCCAUUUUUUGUUGGAUUCAUUUCCGCUGAGGAGUGGUCGAUAAUGAGAGUUUCGGGCCAGUCUGAUUGUCACCAGUCCAGAGGGAAAAUACCUGAUAGU